This 674-nucleotide ribosomal RNA is filed under the name uncultured archaeon. RNAcentral's name for it is "bacterial SSU rRNA". It matches the Rfam family "Archaeal small subunit ribosomal RNA", at positions 90 to 754 of the family's 1478-position model. The record is from RNAcentral.
GCGAGAACACAUGAUCAACUUACCCUAUAGAGAAAAAUAACCUCGGGAAACUGAGGAUAAUGUUUCAUAGUUGAAUUGGCUUGGAAAAGUUUUUCGACGAAGGGGUAAAAAAAAUGGUUUUUAUCUGCUAUAGGAUAGGAUCGUGUUCGAUUAUGGUUGUUGGUGAGGUAAUGGCUCACCAAGCCGAUAAUCGAUAGGGGCCGUGAGAGCGGGAGCCCCGAGAUGGGUACUGAGACAACGACCCAGGCCUUACGAGGCGCAGCAGGCGCGAAACCCCCGCAAUACACGAAAGUGUGACGGGGUUACCCAAAGUGUUCAAUUUUGAACUGUGGUAGGUGAGUAAUGUUCCCUACUAGAAAGGAGAGGGCAAGGCUGGUGCCAGCCGCCGCGGUAAAACCAGCUCUUCAAGUGGUCGGGAUAAUUAUUGGGCUUAAAGUGUCCGUAGCCGGUUUAGUAAGUUCCUGGUAAAAUCGGGUAGCUUAACUAUCUGUAUGCUAGGAAUACUGCUAAACUAGAGGGCGGGAGAGGUCUGAGGUACUACAGGGGUAGGGGUGAAAUCUUAUAAUCCUUGUAGGACCACCAGUGGCGAAAGCGUCAGACUGGAACGUGCCUGACGGUGAGGGACGAAAGCCAGGGGAGCGAACCGGAUUAGAUACCCGGGUAGUCCUGGCCGU